Oryctolagus cuniculus (rabbit) is the source of this 677-nucleotide non-coding RNA. NCBI's taxonomy places the organism in Eukaryota, Metazoa, Chordata, Mammalia, Lagomorpha, Leporidae. The record is from RefSeq and is a predicted model, not a curated record.
GAGAGCCCUUGUACUCAGCUAAAGUCUGCUGGGGACCAUGUGCUAAUGGGGUGGACAUGCAGAACCAGUGACAGCCAGGUUACUCAUCAACAGAGAAAGUGUCUACACAAUGUCUCUUUAGUGGGGCAACGACACCCGAAACAUCACCCUCACCCGUGGCCAGGAAAGGCAGGGGACACAGGCACAGCCCCCUGGGUGGCCACCCCUGGUCACAGUGCCUGAGCUGGAUGAGCUCAUAAUGCAGGUAGCGUCCAUGCCAGGGCUCUGCCGGUUAGGAGACAGAGGUACCAGGAAGAGUUCUCCAUCCAGAGGGCUUCCAGUGGGGGCUGUGAAUGCUAGGAUGGUGGGAGCCCUCUCUCCUGGGAAGAAAGCCUGUGUCCAAGAUGAAGUCCAAGGGACAGAGAUAUCCCAUGAGAUCCGUCAGUGUCUGCGGAUCUUUUGCAGUCCACAAUCACAGAUAUUGUGGUUUUCCAGUCCUGAAACAUCGAUACGGUCUGAUAGAGUCAGAGGCACGGUGCUUGGCGGGUAGCGAGGAAGACUUUGGUGACGUAAGCAGAACGUGGUCCACGCCUCCGUCUCCGAGGGGAAAGGCAGGCGCAGCAUCAGACACGGGUGGCAGUGAGUCCCAGCGGGACAGACAGUCUUGGGUGGAAAUAAAGAGUUACUAGAUACUGUAA